GGAACCCUGUGGGCUCUCUGCCUUUGCCCCCAAUGUCAGCCAGGAGACAGCCCCCCUGCCCUGCUGGAGCCAGACCGUUGAUGGAGGGCCCCGGUGGGUGAGGUCUGUAGCGCCAUGGAAACAGACUAAAGAGCGGCGGCAAGAAAGGAGUUGGUCUCCACAAACCGCCCAAAGUCAAGGAAGAUUUUGGAUAAAUCAUUAUCAAGGAAGCUAAGGACACCUGUGUUGUAUUGAAAGCACACCAGGCCAUGAAAUCGGAGGCCUGAAUUUGAAUUCCAGUUACUCACAAAUGAACUAAAAUCAGUCUGACGGUGGCUGCACAAGAUGGGAAGGAAUAAUCAUUGAAAUUAGACCCAAGGAAGAAUGCAUGAAGUAUGCCUGCUCUCAGCCGCCAGUGUCAGAACAGCUCAGAUCCAAGGAGCAUACGUUUGACCUCAGAUGAAUUCUGGAGUGUUUUCCUGUAGAAGAGCUUGCUCCAGGUCACUCCUGUCUAGAGCCCAGAUUCUGAGGAAGAGUCACAGGGAGAAUCCGGCAGAGGAUCCCCUCCCCCAACCCCAGCCUGUGCUUAAUUAAGUGAGUGGCUUAAGGGACUUGCCUCCUCUUCAAGAUUAAGAGAAUUCCCUCAGUUUCACAUCCCUUGGAAAUCUCACGUUCACGAAAGGUUCUCAUCAUAUGCCAGGUGCUCCAUGAAAC
Molecule: long non-coding RNA, 693 nt
Filed under: Ursus maritimus (polar bear)
Lineage: Eukaryota; Metazoa; Chordata; Mammalia; Carnivora; Ursidae
Description: lncRNA (ENSUMAG00000008869.1)
Source: RNAcentral